AUUCUCUAGAACACAUGAGGCAUGUGCCUCAUCCCAUCCCUGGCUUUCAGCAGUUGACCCUGUAGGUAUUCGUGUAGGAUUAUCUCACCCAUCAGCAAAGCAACUCUAUGGCAGAUCCACAGGUUUCCAAUUCUGAGUCACUUUUUCCAUAAACGGGUAAUUUCUCCAAACAAAGAGUAUGUACAUGAUAUUGAAGAAAGUGCAAAUGGAUCAUGUUGUCACACAAGACUUGGAGCUGGAAAACAGUCCAGUUUAAUGUCAGACUCCCGCAACCUCGUUCAUUAAAGAUGUGGAACUGA
Equus caballus (horse) is the source of this 299-nucleotide non-coding RNA. The record is from RefSeq and is a predicted model, not a curated record. NCBI's taxonomy places the organism in Eukaryota, Metazoa, Chordata, Mammalia, Perissodactyla, Equidae.